GACUGCGUACCUUUUGUAUAAUGGGUCAGCGACUUAUAUUCUGUAGCAAGGUUAACCGUAUAGGGGAGCCGAAGGGAAACCGAGUCUUAACUGGGCGUUAAGUUGCAGGGUAUAGACCCGAAACCCGGUGAUCUAGCCAUGGGCAGGUUGAAGGUUGGGUAACACUAACUGGAGGACCGAACCGACUAAUGUUGAAAAAUUAGCGGAUGACUUGUGGCUGGGGGUGAAAGGCCAAUCAAACCGGGAGAUAGCUGGUUCUCCCCGAAAGCUAUUUAGGUAGCGCCUCGUGAACUCAUCUUCGGGGGUAGAGCACUGUUUCGGCUAGGGGGUCAUCCCGACUUACCAACCCGAUGCAAACUGCGAAUACCGAAGAAUGUUAUCACGGGAGACACACGGCGGGUGCUAACGUCCGUCGUGAAGAGGGAAACAACCCAGACCGCCAGCUAAGGUCCCAAAGUCACAGUUAAGUGGGAAACGAUGUGGGAAGGCUCAGACAGCCAGGAUGUUGGCUUAGAAGCAGCCAUCAUUUAAAGAAAGCGUAAUAGCUCACUGGUCGAGUCGGCCUGCGCGGAAGAUGUAACGGGGCUAAACUGUGCACCGAAGCUGCGGCAGCGACGCUUAUGCGUUGUUGGGUAGGGGAGCGUUCUGUAAGCCUGCGAAGGUGUCCUGUGAGGGAUGCUGGAGGUAUCAGAAGUGCGAAUGCUGACAUAAGUAACGAUAAUGCGGGUGAAAAGCCCGCUCGCCGGAAGACCAAGGGUUCCUGUCCAACGUUAAUCGGGGCAGGGUGAGUCGACCCCUAAGGCGAGGCCGAAAGGCGUAGUCGAUGGGAAACGGGUUAAUAUUCCCGUACUUGGUGUUACUGCGAAGGGGGGACGGAGAAGGCUAUGUUGGCCGGGCGACGGUUGUCCCGGUUUAAGCGUGUAGGCUGGUUUUCCAGGCAAAUCCGGAAAAUCAAG
This 956-nucleotide ribosomal RNA is filed under the name Salmonella enterica. RNAcentral's name for it is "partial 23S ribosomal RNA". It matches the Rfam family "Bacterial large subunit ribosomal RNA", at positions 595 to 1554 of the family's 2925-position model. RNAcentral also lists the same sequence under 1 other name. The record is from RNAcentral. Lineage: Bacteria; Pseudomonadati; Pseudomonadota; Gammaproteobacteria; Enterobacterales; Enterobacteriaceae.